GUUAUAUUCCUAUAAAAUCCUUCUUAAUUAAAAAGUGUGAUCAACAUAGCUAACAGCUAUAAAAGGGACAUCUGUGCCCUAUGCAUUUCAUCUCUAUGCCUGAGAGCUCUCCAAACCUCCCUCCUUCUUAGAUCAAUGGCAAAAAAGUAUAACUUAUUAUCUCUAUUGUACUUAUGAUAAACAAAAUUGUGGGGCUGGGCUGAUACGAGUGCUGGUGCAAGGUGGGGAAAUAAGAGCAGGGGCCUUAAUAAAACCAUCUUAAGAAAGAGGAGUAACUGAUUAUGGAUAUACUAGACAUUUUGGAUAGAUGUAAACCACUGCUUUUUUUUUUUAAAUGUAAAACCUGGUUUUAAAAGAGUUAAUGUAUAAACUGUGAAAUGUUUUAGCAAUAUGAAAUCUGGUUUUGACUCCAUGGCUCAGUCUCGGCACUACCCCUGUCUGUGGUGCAAUAAACUCAGUUGAGCUGCAUGUAAUCUAUUUACAAAAACAGCAGCUUUGCAGUCCUUGAUUUGUGUGUCCUUUUAAUUUCUCCAUCCCUGUUGAGUCUCCCUCUGAUGCACCAUGCCAUGAAGAUGAUUAACCUCCAGCACUUUAUCAGCCCAAGAUCCACGGCUGUGGCAGUGCAAGGAACUAUCCUGGUGUAACUGUAGUGCAAGCCAGGCCUGAAGACCAGGUGCUGGGUCUCUGCCCGCUAAGUGCAAAGCCGUUUCUUCCUCACAAAAGCUAGCAAUUUGCUUAAAUCCUGAGAAUAAACCUUAAAUGCUCAGUAAGAUAAGAUUGAUAAGAGGCAACCCCAGCCUCUUAUCAAAUAGAUGGCUAAACUGACCCCCAGGUGGGCUUGGGAGGCAGGGUUCUCCAGACAGUUCUGGAACUUUCUCCUGAGCGCCCCUCGCACCCUCAGGAGCAGCUGCUGGAGGAACCCACAGGUGCAGUGCAGUGCAGUGAUCCCGGCAGGCACUCACAGACACCUGAACCCAGGUGCAGCUGUUCUGGGCACCAGAACCUGGUGUUGCCCUUCCUUGGGAAGGAUGAAUGAUGUGGUUAUUGGGAGGAUAAGAAACAUAAGAAAGACAAAGACCAUUGGGAAACACCCACACAUAGACAGUGGACAAAGAAAGAAAGAAAUGCUAAAUAUAGAAAUAAAUUGUUUAUCCUGA
This 1157-nucleotide long non-coding RNA is filed under the name Phasianus colchicus (ring-necked pheasant). Its description in RNAcentral is "lncRNA (ENSPCLG00000008149.1)". The record is from RNAcentral. Lineage: Eukaryota; Metazoa; Chordata; Aves; Galliformes; Phasianidae.